UACGGGGGGGGCAAGCGUUGUUCGGAAUUACUGGGCGUAAAGGGCUCGUAGGCGGCCAACUAAGUCAGACGUGAAAUCCCUCGGCUUAACCGGGGAACUGCGUCUGACACUGGAUGGCUUGAGUUUGGGAGAGGGAUGCGGAAUUCCAGGUGUAGCGGUGAAAUGCGUAGAUAUCUGGAGGAACACCGGUGGCGAAGGCGGCAUCCUGGACCAACACUGACGCUGAGGAGCGAAAGCCAGGGGAGCAAACGGG
Molecule: ribosomal RNA, 253 nt
Filed under: uncultured bacterium
Lineage: Bacteria
Description: partial 16S ribosomal RNA
Rfam family: Bacterial small subunit ribosomal RNA
Source: RNAcentral